GUGAGAACGGCGAUCACCUUUCAUAGCAGGAGGGGAUGCUGGCGCUGUUCUCUUUCUUGAUCUGGUUGCUGGUUACUCGAGGCAAAGCAGAUCCACUCAAAGGCUUCAAAGGGCCCUGACAGAAGGCACUUCCAGCCCGGUGGAAUGGCAUGCUGGGCAGGCGGAGCGGAUACGUAACAUGUGCUUCAAAGGGGUAUGCAGAUUAAACACAACCGCGAGCCAGCGGGGAGUGCCCUGGGUGACCUUGGAGGUGGCCCUGGUCCGCUGGGCUCUGGCUGCUCCUCGGGGUGUGAGGUGCAUGAGGUGUGACGGGGCAAGGCCGUGGGUCCCCCACUGCCAGCUGAUCCUCAUCGCAGACCAGCGCACCACACUUGUCAGAGCAGAAGCGUCAAAGAAGUCGCUGGCCUGAAAGCACAGAGGCCUGGCUAGUGGGUCUGAGGGACGGCUAACGUCACAUCUGGGGAAUCCCACUCACCCACAGCCUGGAUGUCCCCCAGACACACUCUUCACCUUGACCCAGUAAGGAUCUGCUGUCCCGGAAGGACGACUACAACUGCUGACGCUUCCCAGUCUGCAGGUGCCAUCAACACGCCAGGCGAGAAACACCAAGGGACAAACCCUCCAGAGCAGAGAGAGCAGUGAAGGGCGAAGGAGAGAUUGCAGCACACUCCGGGAGGCUGGGAAGCAUGGCGGCUGCCUCGGGGGAUGCUCGUCCCUCAGGGGGCGGAUGCCGACAGGAGGGAGGCAAGCUGCUGCGCCCCCAGACCCUGGAAGGGCUCAGACCCCAGGGGAAGACCAGGUGGGGCUUUGUUUCCUUCCUGGAACCUGGGCGGGCUGUGCUGCUGUGGAGGUGAUGCUACCUGAUGGCCAAGGCCAGGCCAGAAGAGG
Long non-coding RNA from Artibeus jamaicensis (Jamaican fruit-eating bat), 888 nucleotides. RefSeq lists it as uncharacterized. The transcript has 5 exons. NCBI's taxonomy places the organism in Eukaryota, Metazoa, Chordata, Mammalia, Chiroptera, Phyllostomidae. The record is from RefSeq and is a predicted model, not a curated record.